RNAcentral lists this ribosomal RNA (261 nucleotides) under uncultured Stenotrophomonas sp. RNAcentral's name for it is "partial 16S ribosomal RNA". It matches the Rfam family "Bacterial small subunit ribosomal RNA", at positions 92 to 354 of the family's 1533-position model. Lineage: Bacteria; Pseudomonadati; Pseudomonadota; Gammaproteobacteria; Lysobacterales; Lysobacteraceae. The record is from RNAcentral.
CGAGUGGCGGACGGGUGAGGAAUACAUCGGAAUCUACUCUGUCGUGGGGGAUAACGUAGGGAAACUUACGCUAAUACCGCAUACGACCUACGGGUGAAAGCAGGGGAUCUUCGGACCUUGCGCGAUUGAAUGAGCCGAUGUCGGAUUAGCUAGUUGGCGGGGUAAAGGCCCACCAAGGCGACGAUCCGUAGCUGGUCUGAGAGGAUGACCAGCCACACUGGAACUGAGACACGGUCCAGACUCCUACGGGAGGCAGCAGGG